Molecule: ribosomal RNA, 1458 nt
Filed under: uncultured bacterium
Lineage: Bacteria
Description: bacterial SSU rRNA
Rfam family: Bacterial small subunit ribosomal RNA
Source: RNAcentral
GAGUUUGAUCCUGGCUCAGGAUGAACGUUGGCGGCGUGCCUAAGAUAUGCAAGUCGAAUGUCUCCGAUUUAAUCGGAGUAAUGGCGGACGGCUGAGUAACACGUAGGGAUCUGUCCCUUUCCGGGAGAUAGCCUCGAGAAAUCGGGGGUAAUAUCCCAUGGUUCCCGAUUUAAUCGGGAUAAAGAAAGUAACUUUUCGGAAAGGGGGGAACCUGCGGCCUAUCAGGUAGUUGGUAGGGUAACGGCCUACCAAGCCGAUGACGGGUAGCUGGCCUGAGAGGGUGGUCAGCCAGAGGGGCACUGAGACACGGGCCCCACUCCUACGGGAGGCAGCAAUCAGGAAUCGUCGGCAAUGGGCGAAAGCCUGACCGCGCGACGCCGCGUGUAGGAAGAAGCUCUCACGAGUGUAAACUACUGUGGCAAGGGAUGAAAUCCCGAAAAUUUCGGGAAUGACCGUACCUUGCUAGAAAGGGGCCGCUAACUGCGUGCCAGAAGCGUCGGUAAUACGUGGGCCCCAAACGUUAUCCGGUGUUACUGGGCGUAAAGGGUCGUGUAGGUGUUCCGAUAAGUUUUUGCUUAAAUAUUAAGGCUCAACCUUAAAAAAGGCAAAAAAACUAUCGGAAUAGAGUUUUCUUUAAGGAGACUAGAAUUCAGGGAGGAGUAGUGAAAUGCGUUGAUACCCUGGAGAAUACCAGUGGCGAAGGCGAGUCUCUCAAAGAAAACUGACGCUGAGACACGAAAGCUAGGGGAGCGAAGCAGAUUAGAGACCUGCGUAGUCCUAGCCCUAAACGCAUGCCUGCUAGCUGUACUCGUCAAACACCUUUGGUGUUUACGGGUGUGGCGAAGGUAACCCGUUAAGCAGGCCGCCUGGGGAGUACGGCCGCAAGGUUGAAACUCAAAGGAAUUGGCGGGGAGGCACACAACCAGUGGAACAUGUGGUUCAAUUCGAAACGAACCGAAGAACCUCACCAGGGCUUGACAUCCCGACGUUCUAUUUUGUGGAAACACAAAAAAUUCGCAAGAAGGUCGGGACAGGUGCUGCAUGGCUGUCGUCAGCUCGUUCAGUGAUGAGUGCCCUUAAGUGGGACAACGAGCGCAACCCCCAUCUUGUGUUAAAUCUGUCACAAGAGACAGGUCCGAUGUUACAUCGGACAGGAAGGAGGGGCAGACGUCAAGUCAGCAUGGUCCUUAUGCCCUGGGCUACACACAUGUUACAAUGGAUAGGACAACGGGCAAUGCUACCGGGCAACCGGACGCCAAUCCCUAAAACCUAUCCUCAGUGGGGAUUGAGGUCUGCAACUCGACCUCAUGAACGCGGAAUUGGUAGUAAUCGUGGGUCAGUCAUACCGCGGUGAAUACGUUCUUGCCUCUUGCACACACCGCCCGUCAAGCCAACAAAGUCGAAAAAAUCUGAAUCUCGAUUUAAUCGGGAGAGGAUUUUUUCGGCGAUGGGGGUUAA